Molecule: ribosomal RNA, 468 nt
Filed under: uncultured bacterium
Lineage: Bacteria
Description: partial 16S ribosomal RNA
Rfam family: Bacterial small subunit ribosomal RNA
Source: RNAcentral
GACGAACGCUGGCGGCGUGCUUAACACAUGCAAGUCGAACGGAAAGGCCCUGCUUUUGUUGGGUGCUCGAGUGGCGAACGGGUGAGUAACACGUGAGUAACCUGCCCUUUACUUUGUGAUAACUUCAGGAAACUGGGGCUAAUACCGGAUAGGAGCUCCUGCUGCAUGGUGGGGGUUGGAAAGUUUCGGCGGUUGGGGAUGGACUCGCGGCUUAUCAGCUUGUUGGUGGGGUAGUGGCUUACCAAGGCUUUGACGGGUAGCCGGCCUGGGAGGGUGACCGGCCACAUUGGGACUGCGGUACGGCCCAGACUGCUACGGUAGGCAGUAGUGGGGAAUAUUGCACAGUGGGCGGAAGCCUGAUGCAGCGACGCCGCGUGCGGGAUGACGGUCUUCGGGUUGUAAACCGCUUUCGCCUGUGACGAAGCGUGAGUGACGGUAAUGGGUAAAGAAGCACCGGCUAACUACGUG